AAAAAAAAACUAAAAAAAAAAAUUUGAGCACAUUAAAAUUUCAUGUUAUUUCAUAGUUCCUUAAAAAGUUGUUAAACUGCAGGAACUAUUUAAUUUUAUGCUGUGGCCUAAAGAAGCUGCUUAUGAUAGUUAGGAAAGAGAGGGUGGUUUUCAUUUUAAUGGAACUUAGGUUUAACUAAUUAAUUGUUUGGAAUUGUGUAUGGUGCUGGCUUGGUUGUGGCACAGUUGUAAGGCUCCAGUUAGGUAGGAUACAUAGCAUGCAAUCAUUAUUGUCAAUGACUCAGUGGACUGCUGUGGCAAAUGUUUGACACCCAACUUUUAUAU
Molecule: unclassified non-coding RNA, 324 nt
Filed under: Hevea brasiliensis (rubber tree)
Lineage: Eukaryota; Viridiplantae; Streptophyta; Magnoliopsida; Malpighiales; Euphorbiaceae
Source: RNAcentral